GAUGAACGCUGACAGAAUGCUUAACACAUGCCAGUCUUUGGCGAAGCUGUGCUUGCACCGCCUAGCCAAGGCGGACGGGUGAGUAACGCGUAAGGAACUUGCCCUGCAGUCAGGGAUAACAGACGGAAACGACUGAUAAGACCUGGUAAAGUCAGGCGGACUCAUGUCCAGCCUGAUGAAAAGAGAUGCUGCAGGAGAGCCUUGCGUCCUAUUAGCUUGUUGGUGGGGUAACGGCCCACCAAGGCGAUGAUAGGUAGCCGGCCUGAGAGGGUGGACGGCCACAAGGGGACUGAGAUACGGCCCUUACUCCUACGGGAGGAAGCAGUGGGGAAUAUUGGACAAUGGGGGCAACCCUGAUCCAGCAAUUCUGUGUGCACGAUGAAGGUUUUCGGAGUGUAAAGUGCUUUCAGCAGGGAAGAAAAAAAUGACGGUACCUGCAGAAGAAGCGACGGCUAAAUACGUG
Molecule: ribosomal RNA, 463 nt
Filed under: uncultured bacterium
Lineage: Bacteria
Description: partial 16S ribosomal RNA
Rfam family: Bacterial small subunit ribosomal RNA
Source: RNAcentral